RNAcentral lists this ribosomal RNA (586 nucleotides) under uncultured bacterium. RNAcentral's name for it is "bacterial SSU rRNA". It matches the Rfam family "Bacterial small subunit ribosomal RNA", at positions 338 to 915 of the family's 1533-position model. The record is from RNAcentral.
CCUACGGGAGGCAGCAGUGGGGAAUUUUGGACAAUGGGCGCAAGCCUGAUCCAGCAAUGCCGCGUGAGUGAAGAAGGCCUUCGGGUUGUAAAGCUCUUUUGUCAGGGAAGAAACGGUGGGGGCUAAUAUCUCCUACUAAUGACGGUACCUGAAGAAUAAGCACCGGCUAACUACGUGCCGAGCAGCCGCGGUAAUACGUAGGGUGCAAGCGUUAAUCGGAAUUACCCUGGGCGUAAAGCGUGCGCAGGCGGUUUUGUAAGUCUGUCGUGAAAGCCCCGGGCUCAACCUGGGAAUUGCGAUGGAGACUGCAAGGCUUGAAUCUGGCAGAGGGGGGUAGAAUUCCACGUGUAGCAGUGAAAUGCGUAGAGAUGUGGAGGAACACCGAUGGCGAAGGCAGCCCCCUGGGGUCAAGAUUGACGCUCAUGCACGAAAGCGUGGGGAGCAAACAGGAUUAGAUACCCUGGUAGUCCAGCCCUAAACGAUGUCUACUAGUUGUCGGGUUUUAAUUAACUUGGUAACGCAGCUAACGCGUGAAGUAGACCGCCUGGGGAUACGGUCGCAAGAUUAAAACUCAAAGGAAUUGAGG